GUAAAAGACUGUGAUACUUAUUUGUCAACGACCUUCCGUAUGAACACGAGCUUUGAAACCAUAAAGUGACGUUUAGAUGAUUGGUUAUAACUCUGAAUAUAACUCUGCUGUAAUACUAAGAAAUAAGAAUAUCUUCUAGUGGCUCAAAGUCUUCAAGUCAGGAGAAAUGAGCAAGGCUACGAGGGCGUACUGAAUGAGUGUUUUGCAUUAAAGAGGCGAAAUUUAUCUUUCAUUCCGUGUUUCUAUAAAAGAAGGAAAGCAGUUGAUAAAAUACUCGUACUCAUAUUUCAAGAGAAACUGCAACAAGAGCUCGAAAAUUGAUCACAAUGUCAGGAAAAAGACGAAUUGCUAGUAUGUCAGCAAUGUGUUUUUGUUUGAUCAUCAUGGAAUUGUUCGCUUUAGUUCUGUCUUCAGACAUUAACCUCCUUAGAUCAACAACCAAAAUUAUUCUUCCUCUGGGAAGG
Exaiptasia diaphana is the source of this 464-nucleotide long non-coding RNA. RefSeq lists it as uncharacterized. The record is from RefSeq and is a predicted model, not a curated record. NCBI's taxonomy places the organism in Eukaryota, Metazoa, Cnidaria, Anthozoa, Actiniaria, Aiptasiidae. The transcript has 3 exons.